CCUACGGGAGGCAGCAGUAGGGAAUAUUGCGCAAUGGAGGAAACUCUGACGCAGCGACGCCGCGUGGGUGAUGAAGGCCUUCGGGUCGUAAAGCCCUGUCGGAAGGGAAGAAAAACCUAGGGGAUAAUACCCCCUAGGCUUGACGGUACCUUCAGAGGAAGCACCGGCUAACUACGUGCCAGCAGCCGCGGUAAUACGUAGGGUGCUAGCGUUGUUCGGAAUCAUUGGGCGUAAAGCGCGUGUAGGCGGUCAGAUAAGUCUGGUGUGAAAGCCCUGGGCUCAACCGAGGAAGUGCAUCAGAAACUAUCUGACUAGAAGACGGUAGAGGAAGGUGGAAUUCCAAGUGUAGAGGUGAAAUUCGUAGAUAUUUGGAGGAAUACCGGUGGCGAAGGCGGCCUUCUGGGCCGAUCUUGACGCUGAGACGCGAAAGCGUGGGGAGC
Molecule: ribosomal RNA, 440 nt
Filed under: uncultured bacterium
Lineage: Bacteria
Description: bacterial SSU rRNA
Rfam family: Bacterial small subunit ribosomal RNA
Source: RNAcentral